Molecule: long non-coding RNA, 1213 nt
Organism: Gasterosteus aculeatus aculeatus (three-spined stickleback)
Lineage: Eukaryota; Metazoa; Chordata; Actinopteri; Perciformes; Gasterosteidae
Source: Ensembl
UGUAGUUAGCAGAGCAAUCGCAGCCUUGUGCGCUGCGGGAGGCUUGCGUCGACACAUGCAAGCACGCAAGGAGGUGUGAAAAGGCACGCAAGGGACAAACCUGGAGAAUUGUUACCCGACUCAGCAGUUCGUCUCAGCUAAUCAGGCAGCUGCAUUCGGUGGUUCGCUCUGAUUAAGCCACUGUACGGGCCCGGUGCCAAACAACAGACAGAAAGGAAACUACAUAAUCAUGCUAUUUAAACACUGCGUUACGGGUGAUGAGGACUACAUCCAAAAGCAAACCGGAGACCGACAGUUUUGAUCUCAAAAAGAAAGGAUUUAUUCACAGGGUCUCGUGUCCAGGUGAUCCCGUGCAGGGGCUCGUGAGGCGAGUCUCGGGGGUAGGCUGCUGGCAGGUUCGGUGAAAGGCUGGGCAGGGUACAGAGCGCAGGCUAAACAAAAGCGCAGGCAUGCGCGUAGUGUCGAUGGGGGACAAUAAUCCGACACGGGAGCCCCGGAGACAGCAGGCUUUAACUGGUGCCAGAUUGUUAAUUAGCCACAGGUGAGAGUGGUGAGAGAGCGCUCCUCUCAGCCGUCCCGCCCAGCCUGAAAACCCUAUAAGAGCACCAGCCAGCACCCAGGAUCAAAAUAUACAUAAAUUAGUGAAGGCAAAGAAAUCAUAAUCACCACACACUGUUUUGUUUUGAAAUGAAAGCUGUCCAGCAUCAGACUCUCCGAUCUGCUUUAUACUUUCGCAGAGACUCUGUGAAACAAUUUUGCUGACAUAAUGUGAGAAUUGUUGCUCAGGCCUCAACAGAGAUGGAACACAGAAGCGUCAGUGUGUUCACCUCUAAAUGAUUGUGUGCAGGUGUAGAUCUCCGUACAACUUGUUAAUUAAAUUCCUCAUGUGUCUAGCCAUUCACAGUCUACUUAAAAAGGAUUUCUGAAUGUGUGCCUAUGGCAUAUAGCUAUAUUUCAUUCUGUUCAUAUUUGAAGACACAUCUGUGUUUCUGUGCAGUACUUCUUACUUACUCUACACUGUAAUAUCUCAGACAGUCACCAGGAUAAACUGCUGUGGACACAUAAAUCAAAUUUGAAGUUGAUUAUGAGAAGUAAUGAUUUGUUCUGUUUCAGAAGCUGCAUUUUUUAAUUUAUUUUUUACAAACAAUUGGUAGCCAAGCAAAUAACCCUGUCCAGGGAGCCGGCCAGGUACGAAGACGGGGGAGGGUGCAGG